Molecule: RNase P RNA, 585 nt
Filed under: Candidatus Uhrbacteria bacterium RIFCSPHIGHO2_01_FULL_47_11
Lineage: Bacteria; Candidatus Uhriibacteriota
Also listed under: 5 other names
Description: RNase P RNA component class A
Rfam family: Bacterial RNase P class A
About the family: Ribonuclease P (RNase P) is a ubiquitous endoribonuclease, found in archaea, bacteria and eukarya as well as chloroplasts and mitochondria. Its best characterised activity is the generation of mature 5'-ends of tRNAs by cleaving the 5'-leader elements of precursor-tRNAs. Cellular RNase Ps are ribonucleoproteins.
Source: RNAcentral
ACAAAAAGCUGGAUGAUCGCUCCGACUUAGGUCGGGGAGGAAAGUCCGAACACCCCCGCAGUAAUGUGGGAAAAAGGUACCACCUAACGGGUGGGCAGUAUGACGGGGAUAUCAUCCGGUCAUCCGAUCGGACAAGAAACUCCGCUGACGGAUCAGUGCCACAGAGACAAUACUAAUCGUGCCUCACUAUCAUUCGGCACUCCGUUACGAAUUACGAAUCUUGUACGAAACUACGAAACAACAAAUUUGUAGUUUUGUAGCGACAUUUGUGGAUUCGUACACAGAGCACCGAGCGACAGUGAGGUGCGGUGAAAGGUGAAAAGUGAAGGAAUGUUAAUCGCUUACACAAGCCUAAAACUUGUGAAAACGAGAAGGCUAUUCUUCUUACCGUGGGGUAACUCACGGCGUUGGAAAACCCUACCUGGUGCAACGCCAUUUACGGCGGCUUGAGGUCCCGCGCGAGUGGGAUCCCAGAGAGAUGAUCAUUAAACCACAGAUCUUACAACACAGAUCACACAAAUAUCUGUGAAAAUCUGUGAUCAAAAUCUGUGGUUACAGAAUUCGGCUUACGGGCUUUUUGUAAGC